GACGAACGCUGGCGGCGUGCUUAACACAUGCAAGUCGAACGGAAAGGCCCUGCUUUUGUGGGGUGCUCGAGUGGCGAACGGGUGAGUAACACGGGAGUAACCUGCCCUUGACUGUGGGAUAACUUCAGGAAACUGGGGCUAAUACCGGAUAGGAGCUCCUGCUGCAUGGGGGGGGUUGGAAAGUUUCGGCGGAUGGGGAUGGACUCGCGGCUUAUCAGCUUGUUGGGGGGGUAGUGGCUUACCAAGGCUUUGGCGGGUAGCCGGCCUGAGAGGGUGACCGGCCACAUUGGGCCUGAGGUACGGCCCAGACUCCUACGGGAGGCAGCGGUGGGGAAUAUUGCCCAAUGGGCGGAAGCGUGAUGCAGCAACGCCGCGUGCGGGAUGACGGCCUUCGGGUUGUAAACCGCUUUCGCCUGUGACGAAGCGUGAGUGACGGUAAUGGGUAAAGAAGCACCGGCUAACUACGUG
This 468-nucleotide ribosomal RNA is filed under the name uncultured bacterium. Its description in RNAcentral is "partial 16S ribosomal RNA". It matches the Rfam family "Bacterial small subunit ribosomal RNA", at positions 28 to 507 of the family's 1533-position model. The record is from RNAcentral.